CUGAAUAACUCCGCAGAUCGCAUGGUCUAGCACCGGAGACCUAUCUUUCAAGUGUCUGCCUUAGAACUUUCGAUGGGAGUUUAUGUGACUACCAUGGGCGUUACUAUUGCUACAUAAUUAGGGUUCGACUCCGGAGAGGGAGCCUGAGAAACGGCUACCACAUCCAAGGAAGGCAUGAAGGCGCGCAAAUUACCCACUCUCGGCACGAGGAGGUAGUGACGAAAAAUAACGAGACAGUUCUCUCUGAGGUCUGUCAUCGGAAUGGGUACAAUCUAAACCCUUUAACGAGGAUCUAUUGGAGGGCAAGUCUGGUGCCAGCAGCCGCGGUAAUUCCAGCUCCAAUAGCGUAUAUUAAAGUUGUUGCGGUUAAAAAG
RNAcentral lists this ribosomal RNA (374 nucleotides) under Nematoda sp. RNAcentral describes it as "SSU rRNA". It matches the Rfam family "Eukaryotic small subunit ribosomal RNA", at positions 252 to 626 of the family's 1831-position model. The record is from RNAcentral. Lineage: Eukaryota; Metazoa; Nematoda.